Molecule: ribosomal RNA, 253 nt
Filed under: uncultured bacterium
Lineage: Bacteria
Description: partial 16S ribosomal RNA
Rfam family: Bacterial small subunit ribosomal RNA
Source: RNAcentral
UACGGAGGGUGCAAGCGUUGUUCGGAAUUACUGGGCGUAAAGCGCGUGUAGGCGGCCUGGCAAGUCAGGCGUGAAAGCUCUGGGCUUAACCGAGGAAGUGCGUCUGAAACUGCCAGGCUUGAGUACGGGAGAGGGGGGCGGAAUUCCCAGUGUAGAGGUGAAAUUCGUAGAUAUUGGGAGGAACACCGGUGGCGAAAGCGACCUCCUGGACCGAUACUGACGCUGAGACGCGAGAGCGUGGGUAGCAAACAGG